CGAUUUCAAACGUAUAAAAAACGGUUUCCUUACUUUUUCUGUUCGUCUCGACAAUUUUGGGGGAAUUUUUUUUACAUACAUUUCAGAUAUUAGGCAGAAGCGCUCACCUUGAAGACCAGCGGAGCCUCUUUCGUGGUGUCGCGUCCACUCUGAGUGAAGAGGGCGCUGCGAGCUACACUGAUUACACGCGCCGCUUCUUCAGCCACGAAGAACUGAACAUGGAAGAGAGUGGGCCAUUGUUAUCAUCAAUUAUCAAAAGAUACCGUUAUCGGUUUCAAGAUUACUCUGGACUAAGGUAUAUUAUACCCACAUGUCAGUGAUAGAUAGACUUUGAGCUCUAAAGGGUAUGGAGAGAUGAAGAGAGCCUUGGUUGGAUCUUCCGGAUAUUUCUUCUGUUGGUCUUGGAGAUUGCAUUGAAGUUGCAGUAAAACCCUGCCAGAUAUCCUCCUUCAUUGCCAUACAAAGUGGGUUGGAACAAAUUUCAUUCUGUAUUUGGAGGAGGAGGAGCAACCAAGGCAAUUCCCUCAUAAUCAAGCCUUCAUUAUUGUGGGAGAAAUGUCACUGAAGCAAGGCCGUCUUUCUUACAAGCAGUUGAUACAUGCUUUAAAUUAUUUUACAUUUUGAACAUUGAG
Long non-coding RNA from Onychostoma macrolepis, 632 nucleotides. RefSeq lists it as uncharacterized. The transcript has 5 exons. Lineage: Eukaryota; Metazoa; Chordata; Actinopteri; Cypriniformes; Cyprinidae. The record is from RefSeq and is a predicted model, not a curated record.